AGAACGAACGCUGGCGGCAGGCCUCAAACAUGCAAGUCUAGGGGAUGUAGCAAUACAUCACCGGCGGACGGGUGCGUAACACGUGGGAAUAUACCUUUCGGUACGGAACAACUGCGGGAAACUGCAGCUAAUACCGUAUACGUCCUUACGGAGAAAGAUUUAUCGCCGAAGGAUUAGCCCGCGUUCGAUUAGCUAGUUGGUGAGGUAAUGGCUCACCAAGGCGACGAUCGAUAGCUGUUCUGAGAGGAAGAUCAGCCACACUGGGACUGAGACACGGCCCAGACUCCUACGGGAGGCAGCAGUUGGGAAUCUUGGACAAUGGGGGAAACCCUGAUCCAGCCAUGCCGCGUGAGUGAUGAAGGCCUUCGGGUUGUAAACGCUCUUUUACCCGGGAAGAUAAUGACUGUACCGGAGAAUAAGCUCGGCUAACUCGUGCCAGCAGCCGC
RNAcentral lists this ribosomal RNA (446 nucleotides) under uncultured bacterium. Its description in RNAcentral is "SSU rRNA". It matches the Rfam family "Bacterial small subunit ribosomal RNA", at positions 26 to 518 of the family's 1533-position model. The record is from RNAcentral.